RNAcentral lists this ribosomal RNA (253 nucleotides) under uncultured bacterium. Its description in RNAcentral is "partial 16S ribosomal RNA". It matches the Rfam family "Bacterial small subunit ribosomal RNA", at positions 524 to 776 of the family's 1533-position model. The record is from RNAcentral.
UACGUAGGGUGCAAGCGUUGUCCGGAAUUAUUGGGCGUAAAGAGCUCGUAGGCGGUCUGUCGCGUCUGCUGUGAAAACUCGGGGCUUAACCCCGGGCCUGCAGUGGGUACGGGCAGACUAGAGUGCGGUAGGGGAGACUGGAAUUCCUGGUGUAGCGGUGAAAUGCGCAGAUAUCGGGAGGAACACCGGUGGCGAAGGCGGUUCUCUGGGCAGUAACUGACGCUGAGGAGCGAAAGCGUGGGGAGCGAACAGG